Molecule: ribosomal RNA, 493 nt
Filed under: uncultured bacterium
Lineage: Bacteria
Description: partial 16S ribosomal RNA
Rfam family: Bacterial small subunit ribosomal RNA
Source: RNAcentral
AUUGAACGCUGGCGGCAUGCUUUACACAUGCAAGUCGAACGGUAACAGGUUAAGCUGACGAGUGGCGAACGGGUGAGUAAUGCAUCGGAACGUGCCCGGUCGUGGGGGAUAACGCAGCGAAAGCUGCGCUAAUACCGCAUACGAUCUAAGGAUGAAAGCGGGGGACCGUAAGGCCUCACGCGAUCGGAGCGGCUGAUGUCAGAUUAGGUAGUUGGUGGGGUAAAGGCUCACCAAGCCAACGAUCUGUAGCUGGUCUGAGAGGACGACCAGCCACACUGGGACUGAGACACGGCCCAGACUCCUACGGGAGGCAGCAGUGGGGAAUUUUGGACAAUGGGCGAAAGCCUGAUCCAGCAAUGCCGCGUGCAGGAAGAAGGCCUUCGGGUUGUAAACUGCUUUUGUACGGAGCGAAAAGGUCUCCUCUAAUACAGGGGGCUCAUGACGGUACCGUAAGAAUAAGCACCGGCUAACUACGUGCCAGCAGCCGCCGUAA